ACAGGCUUAACACAUGCAAGUCGAGGGGCAGCAUGGUCUUAGCUUGCUAAGGCCGAUGGCGACCGGCGCACGGGUGAGUAACACGUAUCCAACCUGCCGUCUACUCUUGGACAGCCUUCUGAAAGGAAGAUUAAUACAAGAUGGCAUCAUGAGUCCGCAUGUUCACAUGAUUAAAGGUAUUCCGGUAGACGAUGGGGAUGCGUUCCAUUAGAUAGUAGGCGGGGUAACGGCCCACCUAGUCUUCGAUGGAUAGGGGUUCUGAGAGGAAGGUCCCCCACAUUGGAACUGAGACACGGUCCAAACUCCUACGGGAGGCAGCAGUGAGGAAUAUUGGUCAAUGGGCGAGAGCCUGAACCAGCCAAGUAGCGUGAAGGAUGACUGCCCUAUGGGUUGUAAACUUCUUUUAUAAAGGAAUAAAGUCGGGUAUGUAUACCCGUUUGCAUGUACUUUAUGAAUAAGGAUCGGCUAACUCCGUGCCAGCAGCCGCGGUAAUACGGAGGAUCCGAGCGUUAUCCGGAUUUAUUGGGUUUAAAGGGAGCGUAGAUGGAUGUUUAAGUCAGUUGUGAAAGUUUGCGGCUCAACCGUAAAAUUGCAGUUGAUACUGGAUAUCUUGAGUGCAGUUGAGGCAGGCGGAAUUCGUGGUGUAGCGGUGAAAUGCUUAGAUAUCACGAAGAACUCCGAUUGCGAAGGCAGCCUGCUAAGCUGCAAUUGACAUUGAGGCUCGAAAGUGUGGGUAUCAAACAGG
This 745-nucleotide ribosomal RNA is filed under the name uncultured Bacteroidales bacterium. RNAcentral's name for it is "bacterial SSU rRNA". It matches the Rfam family "Bacterial small subunit ribosomal RNA", at positions 42 to 776 of the family's 1533-position model. Lineage: Bacteria; Pseudomonadati; Bacteroidota; Bacteroidia; Bacteroidales. The record is from RNAcentral.